Paramisgurnus dabryanus is the source of this 436-nucleotide non-coding RNA. The record is from RefSeq and is a predicted model, not a curated record. Lineage: Eukaryota; Metazoa; Chordata; Actinopteri; Cypriniformes; Cobitidae.
AAGGAGAAUGCAACAUGUUCCAGGGCCUCUUACCUGCGUGAUUCAUCAUCCAGGUUUUGCACAAAUUGUCUAAAUCCCUACACAUAGAACAUUUAUUGUACCGACUAUAAGCCUUUGAGGUGCAGGACUACAAUACGCUUGGAGCUUCCUGAUCAGAUCGGUCACAAUUUUGGCUUUCGACGACCCCUGCACUGAAGAUGGCAUGCAAUCACGUCCUCCUUUGAAGGUCUCUCAAACUGUGAUGCCAGGUCCAUUGGAAUCGGGGUUUCCUUCAGCUUAUCUUCAAAUACCUCAUCAAACACAAGCCUGAUCACAUCAUCCACAUAACUGUAGAAAUAUUGCAGUCAAUAAAUCUUUUGUUUUGAUCAUUUAUUUCCCUGCUUCAUACAUUAAGUUUUUAAUUAUGAAUGUAUUUGAAAUAAAACAUUACUGCUUA